RNAcentral lists this ribosomal RNA (1399 nucleotides) under uncultured bacterium. RNAcentral's name for it is "bacterial SSU rRNA". It matches the Rfam family "Bacterial small subunit ribosomal RNA". The record is from RNAcentral.
AGAGUUUGAUCCUGGCUCAGGAUGAACGCUAGCGGCAGGCUUAACACAUGCAAGUCGAGGGGCAGCGCGGGAGUAGCAAUACUUCUGGCGGCGACCGGCGGAAGGGUGCGUAACACGUGAGCAACCUGCCCGGAGCAGGGGGACAAGCGCUGGAAACGGCGUCUGAUACCCCGUACGGCCUUUGGGGGCAUCCCCAGUGGCUGAAAGCCGCGAGGCGGCUCCGGAUGGGCUCGCGGGGCAUUAGCCAGUCGGCGGGGUGACGGCCCACCGAAGCUACGAUGCCUAGGGGUUCUGAGAGGAAGGCCCCCCACACUGGGACUGAGACACGGCCCAGACUCCUACGGGAGGCAGCAGUGAGGAAUAUUGGACAAUGGGGGAGACCCUGAUCCAGCCAUGCCGCGUGAAGGACUGAGGCCCUACGGGUCGUGAACUUCUUUUGACGCGGAGCAAUAAGGCCUACGUGUAGGCCGACGAGAGUACGCGUCGAAUAAGCAUCGGCUAACUCCGUGCCAGCAGCCGCGGUAAUACGGAGGAUGCGAGCGUUAUCCGGAUUCAUUGGGUUUAAAGGGUGCGUAGGCGGAGCCUUAAGUCAGCGGUGAAAUGCCCCGGCCCAACCGGGGAGCUGCCGUUGAUACUGGGGUUCUGGAAUGCGGGUGCCGUGGGAGGAAUGUGUGGUGUAGCGGUGAAAUGCAUAGAUAUCACACAGAACACCGAUUGCGGAGGCAUCUCACGAACCCGCCAUUGACGCUGAGGCACGAAGGCGUGGGGAUCGAACAGGAUUAGAUACCCUGGUAGUCCACGCGGUAAACGAUGAUGGCUAACCGCCGGCGAUACACAGUCGGUGGCCAAGCGAAAGCGAUAAGCCAUCCACCUGGGGAGUACGGCCGCAAGGCUGAAACUCAAAGGAAUUGACGGGGGCCCGCACAAGCGGAGGAACAUGUGGUUUAAUUCGAUGAUACGCGAGGAACCUUACCCGGGCUCGAACGGGCGGUGAACGACCCAGAGAUGGGGAGGCCCUACGGGGCGCCGUCCGAGGUGCUGCAUGGUUGUCGUCAGCUCGUGCCGUGAGGUGUCGGCUCAAGUGCCAUAACGAGCGCAACCCUUGCCGUCAGUUGCCAGCGGGUUAGGCCGGGGACUCUGGCGGGACUGCCACCGCAAGGUGAGAGGAGGGGGGGGAUGACGUCAAAUCAUCAUGCCCCUUAUGACCUGGGCCUCACACGUACUACAAUGGCUGCCAACAGAGGGAAGCGAAGCAGUGAUGCAGAGCAAAUCCCCAAAAGCAGUCUUAGUUCGGAUUGCAGGCUGAAACUCGCCUGCAUGAAGUCGGAAUUGCUAGUAAUCGCAGAUCAGCAUGCUGCGGUGAAUACGUUCCCGGGCCUUGCACUAACCGCCCGUCAAG